Molecule: ribosomal RNA, 425 nt
Filed under: uncultured prokaryote
Description: bacterial SSU rRNA
Rfam family: Bacterial small subunit ribosomal RNA
Source: RNAcentral
UGGGGAAUAUUGGACAAUGGGCGCAAGCCUGAUCCAGCCAUGCCGCGUGAGUGACGAAGGCCCUAGUGGUUGUAAAACUCUUUCGCCGGUGAAGAUAAUGACGGUAACCGGAGAAGAAGCCCCGGCUAAUUUCGUGCCAGCAGCCGCGGUAAUACGAAAGGGGCUAGCGUUGUUCGGAAUUACUGGGCGUAAAGCGCGCGUAGGCGGCAUGCCAAGUUGGGGGUGAAAUCCCGGGGCUCAACCCCGGAACUGCCUCCAAAACUGGCAAGCUAGAGGAUGCGAGAGGUGAGCGGAAUUCCGAGUGUAGAGGUGAAAUUCGUAGAUAUUCGGAAGAACACCAGUGGCGAAGGCGGCUCACUGGCGCAUUUCUGACGCUGAGGUGCGAAAGCGUGGGGAGCGAACAGGAUUAGAUACCCCCGUAGUCC